UACAGAGGUCUCAAGCGUUGUUCGGAUUCAUUGGGCGUAAAGGGUGCGUAGGCGGCGCGGUAAGUCGGGUGUGAAAUCUCGGAGCUUAACUCCGAAACUGCAUUCGAUACUGCCGUGCUUGAGGACUGGAGAGGAGACUGGAAUUUACGGUGUAGCGGUGAAAUGCGUAGAUAUCAGGAGGAAGACCAGUGGCGAAGGCGGGUCUCUGGACAGUUCCUGACGCUGAGGCACGAAGGCCAGGGGAGCAAACGGG
Molecule: ribosomal RNA, 253 nt
Filed under: uncultured bacterium
Lineage: Bacteria
Description: partial 16S ribosomal RNA
Rfam family: Bacterial small subunit ribosomal RNA
Source: RNAcentral